Molecule: ribosomal RNA, 253 nt
Filed under: uncultured bacterium
Lineage: Bacteria
Description: partial 16S ribosomal RNA
Rfam family: Bacterial small subunit ribosomal RNA
Source: RNAcentral
UACGUAGGGGGCUAGCGUUGUCCGGAAUCAUUGGGCGUAAAGCGCGUGUAGGCGGUCCGGUAAGUCCGCUGUGAAAGCCGGGGGCUCAACCCUCGGAUGCCGGUGGAUACUGGCGGGCUUGAGUACGGAAGAGGCGAGUGGAAUUCCUGGUGUAGCGGUGAAAUGCGCAGAUAUCAGGAGGAACACCAAUUGCGAAGGCAGCUCGCUGGGACGUUACUGACGCUGAGACGCGAAAGCGUGGGGAGCAAACAGG